RNAcentral lists this ribosomal RNA (466 nucleotides) under uncultured bacterium. RNAcentral's name for it is "partial 16S ribosomal RNA". It matches the Rfam family "Bacterial small subunit ribosomal RNA", at positions 28 to 507 of the family's 1533-position model. The record is from RNAcentral.
GAUGAACGCUGGCGGCGUGCUUAACACAUGCAAGUCGAACGGAAAGGCCCAAGCUUGCUUGGGUACUCGAGUGGCGAACGGGUGAGUAACACGUGGGUGAUCUGCCCUGCACUUCGGGAUAAGCCUGGGAAACUGGGUCUAAUACCGGAUAGGACCACAUCUUGGAUGGUGUGGUGGAAAGUUUUUCGGUGUGGGAUGAGCUCGCGGCCUAUCAGCUUGUUGGUGGGGUAAUGGCCUACCAAGGCGUCGACGGGUAGCCGGCCUGAGAGGGUGUACGGCCACAUUGGGACUGAGAUACGGCCCAGACUCCUACGGGAGGCAGCAGUGGGGAAUAUUGCACAAUGGGCGCAAGCCUGAUGCAGCGACGCCGCGUGGGGGAUGACGGCCUUCGGGUUGUAAACUGCUUUCGCUAGGGACGAAGCGUUAUGUGACGGUACCUGGAGAAGAAGCACCGGCUAACUACGUG